UUCCCAAUCUCUUCCCCAUCUCUCUCGCCUCUCUCUCGCCUCAUCGUCAGCUCGUCCUUCGCUCACCGUCGAAGGCGAGUGGGAAGAAGGAGUUUUCAACUCGCUAUCUCCAGCUCCUUGAGCUGCGCGGCGCUAACGCAAGUUUGUCAGGUGAAGAAGAGAAGGGAUUUGUUUGGGCAAUGACCGGAACUAUAACAGAGGAUUACGGAAUGAGCCUUAGGUCUUCAGCUACAGAGGGAACGUUAAGCGAGCAGCGCUGCCCGUCCAGUGAUUCAAUCACGGAAUGGCGGUCCUGCGAGCAGGUUGAGAAUGGGACACCUUCCACUUCACCCCCAUACUGGGAUACUGAUGAUGACGAUGAUGGCAGAUCAAAGACUUUCGAGCUCUAUGGAAGAUUUACGUGGAAGAUUGAAAAAUUUUCAACAAUCAACAAAAGAGAAUUGCGAAGUAAUGCAUUUGAAGUUGGAGGCUACAAGUGGUACAUUUUGAUCUACCCACAGGGUUGUGAUGUCUGCAAUCAUCUUUCAUUAUUUCUUUGUGUUGCUAAUCAUGACAAACUUCUCCCAGGAUGGAGUCAUUUUGCGCAGUUUACAAUAGCUGUAGUCAACAAAGACCCAAAGAAAUCAAAGUACUCUGAUACAUUACAUAGGUUUUGGAAAAAGGAGCAUGAUUGGGGUUGGAAAAAGUUCAUGGAGUUAUCUAAAGUGUAUGAUGGCUUUAUUGUUGCUGACACUCUUGUUAUUAAAGCCCAAGUCCAAGUUAUCAGGGAGAAGGCAGACCGCCCUUUUCGUUGUCUUGAUUGCCAAUACAGGAGGGAACUGGUCCGAGUAUAUUUGUCAAAUGUAGAGAAGGUUUGCCGGCAUUUUCUAGAAGAGAGAAUAGGCAAGCUUAGCAAGUUUGUUGAGGAUAAAGUGAGGUGGUCUGGUUUUCGUGCCUUUUGGUUCGGAAUGGAUCUAAAUUCUAGGUGGCGCAUGUCAAGAGACAGAACAGAUGCUAUACUGAAAGCAGUUGUUAAACAUUUUUUCAUAGAGAAAGAAGUCACAUCUACUUUGGUUAUGGAUUCUCUAUACAGUGGGCUAAAGGCUCUUGAAUUUCAGAGCAAGAACAUGAAAGGAAGAGCUAGAUUAGUGGAUUUGGAAGAAUUACCAUCUCCUAUGAUCCUAGUUGAUAAAGAUUUGUUUGUAUUGGCUGAUGAUGUAAUUCUUCUGAUUGAAAGAGUGGUAUCAGACUCCUUGCCUCAUCAGCCUUUGCCUUCGAAAGAUGACAAGUGUCCACAGAAUCGUACCAAGGAUGGAAGCUCUGGGGAUGAGUUUAAUAAGGACUCCAUUGAGCGUGAUGAAAAGCGACUUAUGGAGCUGGGUCGUAGGACAAUUGAAAUUUUUGUCCUAGCUCACAUAUUCAGCAGUAGAAUUGAAGUUUCCUACCAGGAGGCUGUUGCUCUAAAGAGGCAAGAGGAGCUUAUUCGGGAGGAGGAAGCUGCUGGCCAGGUUGAACAUGAGCUUAAGUCAAAGCGUGGUGCUGCUGAAAAGGAAAAACGUGCAAAGAAAAAACAGGCUAAACAGAAGCGUAAUAGUCGCAAGGGUAAAGACAAAGUAAAGGACGUGAGGUGUAAUCAAGGACAGGAGAGGCUCCAACAAGAAACUCCUUUGGAAGAGCGAACUUCAGAUAGCUUCUCCUCUGGGCAGGUAGAAUUGAUUAUUGAAAAGAUUGAUGCACGAGAAGAUGUGUCUGAGACUGGAGAUGAUGUUGCUGAGGUGCUUCAACCUGAUUUAGAUGACAGAGAUACCAGUCCUACUAAUUGGGACACAGAUACAUCAGAAAUUCAUCUGAUCACUGAAGCUAGUGGCAGCGAUGUGCAAAAUGGACAAACUGAAAAGAGGAGUCAAUCUGUUAUGGAUGAUAGCUCCUCAACGUGCUCAACCGACUCAGUUCCUUCUGCUUUCAUGAGUGGACCUUAUAAAGGAAACAUUUUACCAAACAACAAUGGUGCACAGUCUUCUCCAAACAGAAGAAAAAAUCAUUGGAGUAGAGAAACAAACAACCGCAUAAGUUUAACUCAUGGUGGGCAAAUUCCACCUGAAACUACUUCCGUUGAUGGCCAUUCACAUGAUGCUACUGGCAGCAAGGCUUCCCAACCUGAAUUGGAGGCCACUGGAUUCUCCUUCAAGAAUGAGAUACAGCAUCUUGGCAAAAAUUUAGCCAGGAAGGAGGAAGUUUCUUCUCUACAAAAGAAAUCAACAUCCAAAGAUCAGGUUGAUGCGGAGAGUCAAUCCUCUUCAUCUGGCCUCGGUAAAAAGCCACUCAGCACUAUUCAGCAGCCAAAGCAUUCCUCAGUUGUCACCACCUCCACCGCUGCCAUCACCGCUGCUAUCACCACAGUGGAGCCAGCUUCUUCUAAAGAGGCACCAUCGAGUAGCACAUCUCAAACCGAAAAGAUUCUUGUUCUUGCAUCAGGAUCAGCACCAGUUUCGUCCAGUUCCCAGUCUGAAGCUCAGAAGCAGAACAUGCCAUUAAAGAUUAAUACUUCUCAUCAAGACAAUGCAAUAUCACGGCCUUCCAGUGCUCCUCUUGUCCCGGCACCAAGGCCACCUGCUUCCAUCGCUUCCACAGUUCAAGCAGUACCUCUCCUUUCACGCUCUGUUAGUGCAGCUGGUCGAUUGGGAACUGAUCCAUCACCAUCUGCCCCAAGUUAUAUUCCGCAGUCAUACAGGAAUGCGAUAAUCGGUAAAACUAUGCGUGCAAGGAGGUCUGAUUUUAUUGAUGAGACUACUUCCUCAGGCCAAAGUGUUUCAUGCUCACAGUCUCCAUCGGUAUGCCUAUCAUCUGCCUCUAUGCUUCCGCCUCAGGCCCCUGUAAGGAAGGACCAGACAUCAGUUCGACCUGGCUUGACCUUUGGUUGCCUCAAGCCGGAAGUAGUCCAUAGCCAUCAUCCGCGGAUAGAUGACAGCUACCAUGAAUCCAGCAGCAGCAGUCAGAGGAUUGGUUCAUCUCUUGUGGAUAACAUGCAGAAGCUUGACAUUGAUAAUAAUUUGUGGAAAGAACAAUAUCCAGCUGAGAUUGCUUCCAGGAUUACUCCGUAUCAGGUCCAAGGUACGGUGGCAGAGGAGUUUCCUCACCUCGACAUUAUCAAUGACUUGCUCGAUGAUGAACAAAACAUUGAACGGGCAGCUAGAGGUCCACAACAUGGCUUCAAUAGGCAGUAUUCUUUGCCAAGUAAUUUGUUUGCUGCUGAGUUUGGAUCAUUAGGUGGCUCUGGCCGGUUUGACCAUUCAGAUCAGUACUAUGAAGAGGGUUUCCUUGGGGGCUACGGCACUUCCGCUAACCCCCUUCAAGGGCUGAGGGAUGGAGCUCUCCAGCAGAUGGAUCUUUCAUCAUAUUCUAAUAACCAUAGCCAGCUUGAUGGAUUGAUGCGGAACCAUUGGCCUUAUGGGAACACUGAUCCAUCCAUGCUCAGAUUGGGGGACGGGGAUGCUAAUACGUACCCUUACCAGUUCCGAGUCUAUCGGGCAAGAGGUGGAAACAGAUACUUGUAUCAUCCUGCUAAUGGGCCUUGAGAGCACGUAAUAGGAUUGACCAUUUGGUCAUAACAAUGAUUAUAAUCCAGCGCCAUCUGCUCUUGAAUGUUUCUCGAGUUUUUCUUGCCGGCGGAAGCGGAACCUGAAUUUGUCUGCUUGCCUCGAGUGCGGAGGUGAGGUGCUAAUUCUACUUAUUUACUGGCAUGUGUCUUUCAUGUUUAAAUAGGAAGCCAUACGAACAUUUAGUAUUCCCCCCUACAAGCAAAUUUCCGAAUUCUGAAGCUGAUUCAUGUGAUUUUUCAACGCCA
This is an RNA transcript of Musa acuminata subsp. malaccensis (wild Malaysian banana), 3823 nucleotides long. It is a transcript of the gene named TNF receptor-associated factor homolog 1b, with no coding region annotated. NCBI's taxonomy places the organism in Eukaryota, Viridiplantae, Streptophyta, Magnoliopsida, Zingiberales, Musaceae. The record is from RefSeq and is a predicted model, not a curated record.